This 1500-nucleotide ribosomal RNA is filed under the name Clostridium botulinum. RNAcentral describes it as "bacterial SSU rRNA". It matches the Rfam family "Bacterial small subunit ribosomal RNA". The record is from RNAcentral. Lineage: Bacteria; Bacillati; Bacillota; Clostridia; Eubacteriales; Clostridiaceae.
AGAGUUUGAUCCUGGCUCAGGACGAACGCUGGCGGCGUGCUUAACACAUGCAAGUCGAGCGAUGAAGCUUCCUUCGGGAAGUGAAUUAGCGGCGGACGGGUGAGUAACACGUGGGUAACCUGCCUCAAAGUGGGGGAUAGCCUUCCGAAAGGAAGAUUAAUACCGCAUAAUAUGAGAGAAUCGCAUGAUUUUCUUAUCAAAGAUUUAUUGCUUUGAGAUGGACCCGCGGCGCAUUAGCUAGUUGGUAAGGUAACGGCUUACCAAGGCAACGAUGCGUAGCCGACCUGAGAGGGUGAUCGGCCACAUUGGAACUGAGACACGGUCCAGACUCCUACGGGAGGCAGCAGUGGGGAAUAUUGCGCAAUGGGGGAAACCCUGACGCAGCAACGCCGCGUGGGUGAUGAAGGUCUUCGGAUUGUAAAGCUCUGUUUUCUAGGACGAUAAUGACGGUACUAGAGGAGGAAGCCACGGCUAACUACGUGCCAGCAGCCGCGGUAAUACGUAGGUGGCGAGCGUUGUCCGGAUUUACUGGGCGUAAAGGGUGCGUAGGCGGAUGUUUAAGUGGGAUGUGAAAUCCCCGGGCUUAACCUGGGGGCUGCAUUCCAAACUGGAUAUCUAGAGUGCAGGAGAGGAAAGCGGAAUUCCUAGUGUAGCGGUGAAAUGCGUAGAGAUUAGGAAGAACACCAGUGGCGAAGGCGGCUUUCUGGACUGUAACUGACGCUGAGGCACGAAAGCGUGGGUAGCAAACAGGAUUAGAUACCCUGGUAGUCCACGCCGUAAACGAUGGAUACUAGGUGUAGGGGGUAUCAACUCCUCCUGUGCCGCAGUUAACACAAUAAGUAUCCCGCCUGGGGAGUACGGUCGCAAGAUUAAAACUCAAAGGAAUUGACGGGGGCCCGCACAAGCAGCGGAGCAUGUGGUUUAAUUCGAAGCAACGCGAAGAACCUUACCUGGACUUGACAUCCCUUGCAUAGCCUAGAGAUAGGUGAAGCCCUUCGGGGCAAGGAGACAGGUGGUGCAUGGUUGUCGUCAGCUCGUGUCGUGAGAUGUUAGGUUAAGUCCUGCAACGAGCGCAACCCUUGUUAUUAGUUGCUACCAUUAAGUUGAGCACUCUAAUGAGACUGCCUGGGUAACCAGGAGGAAGGUGGGGAUGACGUCAAAUCAUCAUGCCCCUUAUGUCCAGGGCUACACACGUGCUACAAUGGUAGGUACAAUAAGACGCAAGACCGUGAGGUGGAGCAAAACUUAUAAAACCUAUCUCAGUUCGGAUUGUAGGCUGCAACUCGCCUACAUGAAGCUGGAGUUGCUAGUAAUCGCGAAUCAGAAUGUCGCGGUGAAUACGUUCCCGGGCCUUGUACACACCGCCCGUCACACCAUGAGAGCUGGUAACACCCGAAGUCCGUGAGGUAACCGUAAGGAACCAGCGGCCGAAGGUGGGAUUAGUGAUUGGGGUGAAGUCGUAACAAGGUAGCCGUAGGAGAACCUGCGGCUGGAUCACCU